GUGGUUUAAUUCGAUGAUACGCGAGGAACCUUAUCUGGGCUCGAACGUAAGAUGACUGUAGGUGAAAGCUUACAUCUCUUCGGAGCAUUUUACGAGGUGCUGCAUGGUUGUCGUCAGCUCGUGCCGUGAGGUGUCGGGUUAAGUCCCAUAACGAGCGCAACCCUACCUUUAGUUGCCAUCAGGUAAUGCUGGGGACUCUAAAGGAACUGCCUACGCAAGUAGUGAGGAAGGCGGGGAUGACGUCAAAUCAGCACGGCCCUUACGUCCAGGGCUACACACGUGCUACAAUGGCCGAUACAGAGGGCAGCUACCUGGUGACAGGAUGCAAAUCUCCAAAGUCGGUCUCAGUUCGGAUCGGAGUCUGCAACCCGACUCCGUGAAGUUGGAUUCGCUAGUAAUCGCGCAUCAGCCAUGGCGCGGUGAAUACGUUCCCGGGCCUU
This 440-nucleotide ribosomal RNA is filed under the name uncultured Sphingobacteriales bacterium. Its description in RNAcentral is "bacterial SSU rRNA". It matches the Rfam family "Bacterial small subunit ribosomal RNA", at positions 941 to 1382 of the family's 1533-position model. Lineage: Bacteria; Pseudomonadati; Bacteroidota; Sphingobacteriia; Sphingobacteriales. The record is from RNAcentral.